UGGGCAGAGUGCUCACUGGUUUUGUUAUACCUUUGUGUUUACAAUGUUCUUUGUUUGGUUUCUUUCAUUGCUUGGGUUUGGGGGGGGAUGGAGGGAUGGAG
This is a non-coding RNA of Chiloscyllium plagiosum (whitespotted bambooshark), 101 nucleotides long. NCBI's taxonomy places the organism in Eukaryota, Metazoa, Chordata, Chondrichthyes, Orectolobiformes, Hemiscylliidae. The record is from RefSeq and is a predicted model, not a curated record.